UGGGGAAUUUUGGACAAUGGGGGAAACCCUGAUCCAGCAACGCUGCGUGAGGGACGAAGGCCUUCGGGUCGUAAACCUCUUUUCUGGGGGACGAAAUCCCGCAAGGGUUUGACGGUACUCCAGGAAUAAGCCCCGGCUAAAUAUGUGCCAGCAGCCGCGGUAAGACAUAUGGGGCGAGCGUUAUUCGGAAUUACUAGGCGUAAAGGGCGUGUAGGCGGAUGUCUAAGUCCGUUGUGAAAUCUCCCGGCCCAACCGGGAGGGGUCGACGGAAACUAGGCGUCUAGAGUGAGGUAGGGGGUGCCGGAAUUCCUGGUGUAGCGGUGAAAUGCGUAGAUAUCAGGAGGAACACCGGCGGCGAAGGCGGGCACCUGGGCCUUUACUGACGCUGAUACGCGAAAGCUAGGGGAGCAAACAGG
RNAcentral lists this ribosomal RNA (416 nucleotides) under uncultured bacterium. RNAcentral's name for it is "bacterial SSU rRNA". It matches the Rfam family "Bacterial small subunit ribosomal RNA", at positions 355 to 776 of the family's 1533-position model. The record is from RNAcentral.